AAUAGAUACCCAGGUAGUCCACGCCGUAAACGAUGAGUGCUAAGUGUUGGGGGGUUUCCGCCCCUCAGUGCUGCAGCUAACGCAUUAAGCACUCCGCCUGGGGAGUACGGUCGCAAGACUGAAACUCAAAGGAAUUGACGGGGGCCCGCACAAGCGGUGGAGCAUGUGGUUUAAUUCGAAGCAACGCGAAGAACCUUACCAGGUCUUGACAUCCCGGUGACCACUAUGGAGACAUAGUUUCCCCCUCGGGGGCAACGGUGACAGGUGGUGCAUGGUUGUCGUCAGCUCGUGUCGUGAGAUGUUGGGUUAAGUCCCGCAACGAGCGCAACCCUUAUUCUUAGUUGCCAUCAUUCAGUUGGGCACUCUAAGGAGACUGCCGGUGAUAAACCGGAGGAAGGUGGGGAUGACGUCAAAUCAUCAUGCCCCUUAUGACCUGGGCUACACACGUGCUACAAUGGACGGUACAAACGGUUGCCAACCCGCGAGGGGGAGCUAAUCCGAUAAAACCGUUCUCAGUUCGGAUUGUAGGCUGCAACUCGCCUAC
This 544-nucleotide ribosomal RNA is filed under the name uncultured bacterium. RNAcentral describes it as "bacterial SSU rRNA". It matches the Rfam family "Bacterial small subunit ribosomal RNA", at positions 777 to 1319 of the family's 1533-position model. The record is from RNAcentral.